This 253-nucleotide ribosomal RNA is filed under the name uncultured bacterium. RNAcentral's name for it is "partial 16S ribosomal RNA". It matches the Rfam family "Bacterial small subunit ribosomal RNA", at positions 524 to 776 of the family's 1533-position model. The record is from RNAcentral.
UACGUAGGGGGCAAGCGUUGUCCGGAAUUAUUGGGCGUAAAGAGCGUGUAGGCGGUCCGGUAAGUCAGCUGUGAAAGUCAAGGGCUCAACCCUUGAAAGCCGGUUGAUACUGUCGGGCUAGAGUCCGGAAGAGGCGAGUGGAAUUCCCGGUGUAGCGGUGAAAUGCGCAGAUAUCGGGAGGAACACCAAUGGCGAAGGCAGCUCGCUGGGACGGUACUGACGCUGGGACGCGAAAGCGUGGGGAGCAAACAGG